Molecule: ribosomal RNA, 1407 nt
Filed under: uncultured Alphaproteobacteria bacterium
Lineage: Bacteria; Pseudomonadati; Pseudomonadota; Alphaproteobacteria
Description: bacterial SSU rRNA
Rfam family: Bacterial small subunit ribosomal RNA
Source: RNAcentral
AACGAACGCUGGCGGCAGGCCUAACACAUGCAAGUCGAGCGCUUCACUUCGGUGAGGAGCGGCGGACGGGUUAGUAACGCGUGGGAAUAUACCCUUCACUAUGGAAUAGCCUCGGGAAACUGAGAGUAAUACCAUAUACGCCCUACGGGGGAAAGAUUUAUCGGUGAAGGAUUAGCCCGCGUUAGAUUAGAUAGUUGGUGGGGUAAUGGCCUACCAAGUCUACGAUCUAUAGCUGGUUUGAGAGGAUGAUCAGCAACACUGGGACUGAGACACGGCCCAGACUCCUACGGGAGGCAGCAGUGGGGAAUCUUAGACAAUGGGCGCAAGCCUGAUCUAGCCAUGCCGCGUGAGUGACGAAGGCCUUAGGGUCGUAAAGCUCUUUCGCCAGAGAUGAUAAUGACAGUAUCUGGUAAAGAAACCCCGGCUAACUCCGUGCCAGCAGCCGCGGUAGUACGAAUGGAGCGAGCGUUGUUCGGAAUCAUUGGGCGUAAAGCGUAUGUAGGCGGACUAGAAAGUCGGGAGUGAAAUCCCAGGGCUCAACCCUGGAAUUGCUUCCGAAACUUCUAGUCUAGUGUCCCGGAGGGGUUGACGGAAUUCCUAGUGUAGAGGUGAAAUUCGCAGAUAUUAGGAGGAACACCAGUGGCGUAGGCGGUCAACUGGACGGGUACAGACGCUGAGAUACGAAAGCGUGGGGAGCAAACAGGAUUAGAUACCCUGGUAGUCCACGCCGUAAACGAUGUGUGCUAGAUGUCGGGUCUUUAAGAUUCGGUGUCGCAGCUAACGCACUAAGCACACCGCCUGGGGAGUACGGUCGCAAGAUUAAAACUCAAAGGAAUUGACGGGGACCCGCACAAGCGGUGGAGCAUGUUGUUUAAUUCGAAGCAACGCGAAGAACCUUACCUACACUUGACAUACUCGUCGGGGAUUACAGAGAUGUUUUCCUUCGGUUCGGCCGGACGAUGUACAGGUGCUGCACGGCUGUCGUCAGCUCGUGUCGUGAGAUGUUUGGUUAAGUCCAGCAACGAGCGCAACCCCUAUCGUAUGUUACCAGCAUUUAGUUGGGGACUCAUGCGAGACUGCCGGUGUUAAGCCGGAGGAAGGUGGGGACGACGUCAAGUCAUCAUGGCCCUUACGUGUAGGGCUACAAACGUGCUACAAUGGGUACUACAGUGAGCAGCGAGGUCGCGAGGCCCAGCUAAUCUCAAAAAGUAUUCUCAGUUCGGAUAGGACUCUGCAACUCGAGUCCUUGAAGUCGGAAUCGCUAGUAAUCGUGGAUCAGCAUGCCACGGUGAAUACGUUCCCGGGUCUUGUACACACCGCCCGUCACACCAUGGGAGUUGGUUUUACCCGAAGGCGCCGCGCUAACUUUGGAGGCAGGCGACCACGGUAGGGUCAGCGACUGGGGUG